RNAcentral lists this ribosomal RNA (549 nucleotides) under uncultured Glomus. RNAcentral's name for it is "SSU rRNA". It matches the Rfam family "Eukaryotic small subunit ribosomal RNA", at positions 548 to 1098 of the family's 1831-position model. Lineage: Eukaryota; Fungi; Glomeromycota; Glomeromycetes; Glomerales; Glomeraceae. The record is from RNAcentral.
UUGGAGGGCAAGUCUGGUGCCAGCAGCCGCGGUAAUUCCAGCUCCAAUAGCGUAUAUUAAAGUUGUUGCAGUUAAAAAGCUCGUAGUUGAAUUUCGGGGUCAGUAGGUUGGUCGUGCCACUGGUACGUACUGGUCUCACUGAUUCCUCCUUCCUGAUGAACCGUAAUGCCAUUAAUUUGGUGUUGCGGGGAAACUGGACUGUUACUUUGAAAAAAUUAGAGUGUUUAAAGCAGGCUAACGCUUGAAUACGUUAGCAUGGAAUAAUGAAAUAGGACGUUCGAUCCUAUUUUGUUGGUUUCUAGAAUUGACGUAAUGAUUAAUAGGGACAGUUGGGGGCAUUAGUAUUCAAUUGUCAGAGGUGAAAUUCUUGGAUUUAUUGAAGACUAACUACUGCGAAAGCAUUUGCCAAGGAUGUUUUCAUUAAUCAAGAACGAAAGUUAGGGGAUCGAAGACGAUCAGAUACCGUCGUAGUCUUAACCAUAAACUAUGCCGACUAGGGAUCGGAUGAUGUUAAUUUUUUAAUGACUCAUUCGGCGCCUUACGGGAAAC